Pelobates cultripes (western spadefoot toad) is the source of this 525-nucleotide non-coding RNA. The record is from the annotation of a GenBank genome assembly. NCBI's taxonomy places the organism in Eukaryota, Metazoa, Chordata, Amphibia, Anura, Pelobatidae.
CUUUUUUUUUUUUUUGUAAAUCUUUCUUUUAUUAUGGCAUAUGCGUUAUGGGGUACAGAAUAGAAAAAGGAGAUAUUGUGGGGUAACACACGUUAAUGAUAGCAAGAUGGUUAGUAAUACACUCCUAAGAAGGACUGCCAUAUUUUUUGUUUUUAAAACUACAGUAAACAUAGUGAUAUAAGCUUGGUUAAUUGAAAUAAAAUAAAAUAAAAUAAAUGAGUGAUGCUUAACAGUUAGCUGAGCAGGUCAAACAAUAUCCUGACGACAUAGCGCAUCCUUUUUCUGUAUUAAGCAAUUAGUCUAGUCUUUGGUUUGCUUAUCCAUUCUAGGGCACGUGAAACGGAGGCAGCGUCAUGUUUGUUCAAAGGAGCUAUACAUCGCAUAACUGGUACAGAGCACUAAAGUGUCCUGCCCUUUUGAUAAACUAGCAACCAGUGCAAGAUUUGUCUAACAUGUCAGGUGGCAUAUAUGGGAGUCGAUAUCGAUUGUAUAGAGCUAGGUCCUAGACAUGCUGCUCUAAACGAC